GAUGAACGCUGGCGGCGUGCCUAAUACAUGCAAGUCGAGCGAACGGACGAGAAGCUUGCGUCUCUGAUGUUAGCGGCGGACGGGUGAGUAACACGUGGAUAACCUACCUAUAAGACUGGGAUAACUUCGGGAAACCGGAGCUAAUACCGGAUGAUAUUUUGAACCGCAGGGUUCAAAAGUGAAAGACGGUCUUGCUGUCACAUAGAGAUGGAUCCGCGCUGCAUUAGCUAGUUGGUAAGGUAACGGCUUACCAAGGCAACGAUGCAUAGCCGACCUGAGAGGGUGAUCGGCCACACUGGAACUGAGACACGGUCCAGACUCCUACGGGAGGCAGCAGUAGGGAAUCUUCCGCAAUGGGCGAAAGCCUGACGGAGCCACGCCGCGUGAGUGAUGAAGGUCUUCGGAUCGUAAAACUCUGUUAUUAGGGAAGAACAUCUGUGUAAGUAACUGUGCCCAUCUUGACGGUACCUAAUCAGAAAGCCCCGGCUAACUACGUG
RNAcentral lists this ribosomal RNA (497 nucleotides) under uncultured bacterium. RNAcentral describes it as "partial 16S ribosomal RNA". It matches the Rfam family "Bacterial small subunit ribosomal RNA", at positions 28 to 507 of the family's 1533-position model. The record is from RNAcentral.